RNAcentral lists this long non-coding RNA (1886 nucleotides) under Setaria italica (foxtail millet). Its description in RNAcentral is "long non-coding RNA (SITA_LNC005558)". The record is from RNAcentral. Lineage: Eukaryota; Viridiplantae; Streptophyta; Magnoliopsida; Poales; Poaceae.
CCGCCGCCAGCGGCUUCACCGUCGGCUCCAGCCCACCCGACGACAGGUUCGCCACCGCCGCCAUUGAUGCUUUUGCUGUUAAUUAGAAGGAAUUGGAUGCUAUCUAACUGCUAAUAAGUGAUGGGCACGCUAGGCAGCGCCAUUGAUCCCUCCCUUCUUUCUUGGCGUUCCUCUGUUCGUGGGCAAUGGUGGUGACUCCGCACGGCAUGUGAACCCACAAUUCAGUGUGGCAGGGAGACAGUGAAGGGCAAUGCAGGCAAGGGACAUGAGAGGCUAUUUUUAGUUGUGGAUGAGAGGGAUAAUAGACAGAGGGAGACAUAGCAGCAAUCCAAGUCCAAUAAUAGAGUUUGAAGGCAACCGUGAAUUGGUCUGAAUUUUCUGACACUUGAGGUCUGAACAAAAAGGGAUGACGCACAUUCAUGCUGUGAUGCUGGUUGCUGCUGCUUCAAAGUAAGUAGCUCAUCUUGAUACCCUGAUACCUCGCCUUGCAUCUGCCUAACUGGCGCGUAAUCGCUCCGGCAUCUUGUCCAGGGUCUCGACAGGACCAUUCCCGGCAACAGAAGAAAUGUUUUGUGCAUCUAGUGUCGCCUGCUGAAAAGACCAGGGUUGGAUAGGAAUACAGGCAUGUUCCAUCUUUGUUACAAACGAACAUCCCGUUACUUUUGCCAUCACAAUGAUUUCAGCCUUGUAAGUACAACUCUGUUUCAAAUUUAAAUUUAGAAGGUCGAUCAUGUUCAUAUACGCUGCAUCUCAGGAACAGAUUCAAGUUACAGCCAUUACAAACUGGAAACUGCCAAUCAUGCCUGCACUGGUAACACAUGAUGAUUUCACAACCGAGCUGAAUGAGUUAGAUGCAUUAUGUCAAUCCAAUCCUAAAACAAUUUCUGCCUUGCUGGCCAUUAAGAACUUGCUUGCAGCCAUGCACGACGGAGUUCGCGCGUAUCCACCAUGAAAACGACCUGUCCCGAUUCAUUCAAUCACCAUCAAUCCCUGUCGUCUUCGUCUUCAUCCAGCGAAUUCGACCGCCUCCGCCAGCUCAGCACGCGCCCGAUCCGCGGCAGCCUCAUCACCGAGUUGGCCCGCGCCACCCCCUCCAGGGCUCUCCACACCGUCGUCCCUUCCUCCGACGCCUCGCCGCCGCUUCUGCUGCUCACAACCCUGCGGAAGCUCCCCGUGAACGACACGCCCGCCUGUUCACGAGGCGGCUUCACGUCUCCUGAGCCUGUGAAGCUCUCCUCGUCAGGAGAUGCCGGCCGGUUCAAGAAGAGGCACACGACGGCGCAGUCGUCCACCAUGGACGUCGGGUACUUGCACCGCCACGCUCGGACCGCACGGUCGAUCAGCUGUCUCGCCGCCUUGGAUGGGUCGGUGACCGAUGAGACGAUCUUCACCACCUCCUUGUUCGACAGCACGUCCCAAAUCUGCAACAACAGAUUUUGCCAAGGAAAAUUUUAACUUUUGGUUCUCAUGCAUGCUAGCAUAGGAAAGCCAUAUUGUCUAAACUUUUUUUUUUCUGUUGUCCAAUCAAAUCGGAAAAUCACUAUCAGCUAAAACUAUCAUGGAAUAUUAAUAAAUAGGUGACAGAGAUAUGUCACUUUCAGUUAACAGUUUCUGUUGUCAAUCUAAUCAUAAAAGGGAUUUAUGCUGUUUUAGUACUCAGAUCAUUUGGAAUAGAACUGCAAACCUGUCUCCUUAAAAUUGAAAGUGAUAGAAAUCUGAAACUCCCAAUCAAUCAAACGAGUUUCCGUUUUUAUUACCCCAUCAGUUGCAAGCACCAAGAACUCGUCCUUUUCAGAUAACUUCCUGUAGUAGACUUCAGGUGUGCAGAUAAGGCCAUGGCUCUUCAGGCAGAAGUCCCCGAAGGCCCUUGCCAUGGCGAGACCUGG